AGUAAACACUUUUGAGUGUAUAGACUCUUGCUGCAUGAUCCCACUGUCAAUCUCUAUCUGUGAACCUGUAGUCAAUUCAGAGUUCCCCAGACUGGCGUUCUGUUACAGAGGGAGUUUAGAUUCAACUUCAAUUGCUUUUGGCAUCUUUGUCGUAAAAUAUUUGCCACCAGACCUGCCUUACAAGAGGUCCCAGAAGGAGUGCUAAAUAUAACCUGCCUUACAAGAGGUCGCCAAGAGAGUGCUAAACAUAGAAAGGAAAGACUGUUACCAGCCACUAUAAAAACACACUUUAAGUACAUGGACCACUAUAAAAACACACUUUAAGUACAUGGACUAUAAAGCAACCACACAAACAAGUCUGCAUAAUAACUAGAUAACAACAUGAUGACAGGAUCAAAUCUGCAUAUGUAAAAACUAGCCUUGAAUAUAAAUGGGCUAAAUGCCCAAUUAACAGUGAGUGGGCAGUUGGAUAAAGAAGCAAGACUCAACAGUAUGCUGUCUUCAAAAGACCCAUCUUAUAUGCAGUGAUGUCCAUAGGCUCAAAGUAAAAGGAUGGAGAAAAAUCUACCAAGCAAACAGAAAACAGAAAAAAGGAGGAGUUGCUAAUCUAAUUUCAGACAAAACAGACUUUAAGCCAACAAAGAUCAAAGAAGACACAGAAGGGCAUUACAUAAUGGCAAAAGCCUCAAUUCAACAAGCUGACCUAACAAUCCUAAAUAUAUAUGUACCCAACACAAGAACACCCAGAUUAUAAAGCAAGUUCUUAGAGACCUAUGAAAUGACUUAGAUAAUCACACAAUAAUAGUGGGAGAAUUUCAACACCCCACUGACAAUACUAGAUUAUUGAGGCAGAAAACUAACAAAGAUAUUCAGGACCUGAACUCAAUGCUUGACCUGAUAGAUCUAAUAGAUAUCAACAGAACUCUCUACCCAAAAACAAUUGAAUAUACGUUCUUCUCAUCUGCACAUGGCACAUACUCUAAAAUCAACCACGCAAUAGGCUUAAAACAGUCCUCAGCAAAUAAAAAAAAACUGAAAUUAUACCAACCACACCCUUGGACCACAGGGCAAUAAAAGUAGAAAUCAAGACUAAGAAUAUCACUCAAAACCACUUAAUUACAUGGAAAUUAAACAACCUGUUCUUGAAUGACUUUUGGGUAAAUAAUGAAAUAAGGGCAGAAAUCAAGAAAUUCUUUGAAACCAAAGCAAACAAAGCUACAAUAUACCAGAAUCUCUGGGACAUAGCUAAAGCAGUGUUAAGAGGGAAGCUUAUAGCACUAAAUGCCCACAACAAAAAGAAAGAUCUCAAAUUAAGAACUUAACAUCACAAACCAACCCCAAAGCUAGCAGAAGACAAGACAUAACCAAAAUCAGAGCUGAACUGAAGGAAGUUGAGAUGCAAAAAACCAUACAAAAGACCAAUGAAUCCAGGAGUUGGCCUUUGAAAGAAUUAAUGAUAUACUUCUAGCUAGACUAAUAAAAAAAGAAGUUCCAAAUAAAUACAAUCAGAAAUGACAAAGGGAACAUUACCACCAACUCCAUAGAAAUACAAACUCUCAGAAACUGCUGUGAACACCUCUAUGCACUCAAGCUAGAAAACCUAAAAGAAAUGAUACAUUUCUGGAAAUAUACAACCUCCCAAGAUUGAACCAGGAAGAAACUGAAUCCCUGAACAGAGAAUAUCUCUUGUAAAGAUGUCUUCAGAAUCUCAAUCUCCAGUGCUCCUUCUUUUAAGAACUCCAGGCAUGUCUUAACAGUAAUGUCCUCCUGGAGAUGAUACUGACAUUUUGAAAAACACUCCUCAAACAGAAAUCACCAUCUUCCUCUUUCAAAUCCUGUUCCUCCCUAGCCUGUACUCUCCAUAUGCUCAUCCAUUACUGAAGCUAGAAACUGCAUAAUUGUCAUUGACUCAUAUUUAGUACCUGUUGGCUUUGCUUCUUAAGAUAAAUUCCAAAUGGGGUUGCUGAA
Molecule: long non-coding RNA, 1968 nt
Filed under: Pongo abelii (Sumatran orangutan)
Lineage: Eukaryota; Metazoa; Chordata; Mammalia; Primates; Hominidae
Description: lincRNA
Source: RNAcentral